CUCGGGGUGUCGGCGGCUCCUGGUUCACAGCGCCAGUUCUCACACCUCAGACCAGCCUAGACAUGGUGUGAUCCCUGGGCCUGUCCUGUUCCUCUGGCUGGAAGCUGCCCCUGGAUCCCUGGACUAGGUCUGGGUAACAGCUGAGAGAAGUUUGUGCCUGCWGUGGGGCUGGCAAGUGUCCUGGAAUGGAGUUAAAUGGAGGAUGGAUCCAGCACCUGGAAAACACCCCAAUAAUCCAGAUUUCCCCCCUGCACGUUCCCUGUAGCAGCCUGAAGAAAGUGGGUCCCAGUGCCUUUCCCUGUUGCAGGCAGGUCUGAAGGAGCUGCAGGCAGACACAGCCAUGAAAGCCAGGCCUAUUCUGCACAAACAACCCUGUGCUUCCUUCACUUCUUCUCCUGACAAUAAAACUGACUGGGCCAUUGCUUCACCUCUCUGGGCCCUCACAGGUGAUGGAGAGUUUUGUUUCUCUUAUUACAGGGUACUUUGCAUACCACAAAACUAUUUAAAGAUAUACUUUGUAGAGAGGAGCAGUUCUCUCUGUUAAAAACACUAAUGUGAAAUAGAGCCUACCUUCUCCCAGCAGUUCUGCAAUGCAAAAUUGUGAAUUUUUGUUCUUUUGGGUAUAGUAUAUUGAGAAUAGUGAAAAUCUUGCUGAACUGCAAAARAAUUCUGUCAUUUUAGCAAAACAUAUAUUUACUGUCAUCUACUUAGCAAAAAAUGCAUGCUUACCUUAUAUCUUAUCAUGUGCAUAUGACUCAGUAAUGGUAUAAUUUAUAUAGCAGUAAGAACCAUAUAAUUACUUCCCAUCUAAGUAUUAAUUAUAAUUGUGUCAAUCUUUGGAGUGUUGAAUGUUGAUUACAGUUGAAAAUUAUUCAGUAUUUACAGAAAAUCCAAGUGCAAUUUUAAUAAUUUGGAUGAUGCUUCCUUUUAAACACCAUUAUAUAUUUACUUUUCUCAGCUUUAUACAUCCUUUAGUGGGAAUAGAAAAUGAAGUCCAUUUUUUUUCAGUGUAG
Molecule: long non-coding RNA, 1013 nt
Organism: Malurus melanocephalus (red-backed fairy wren)
Lineage: Eukaryota; Metazoa; Chordata; Aves; Passeriformes; Maluridae
Exons: 3
Source: RefSeq, a predicted model, not a curated record